UGCGUAGGUGGUGAGGUAAGUCGGAUGUGAAAGCUCCGAGCUCAACUCGGAAAUGGCAUUGGAAACUACCUUGCUAGAGGGUUUGAGGGGGGACUGGAAUACUUGGUGUAGCAGUGAAAUGCGUAGAUAUCAAGUAGAACACCAGUGGCGAAGGCGAGUCCCUGGAAAACUCCUGACACUGAGGCACGAAAGCUGGGAGCAAACA
Molecule: ribosomal RNA, 205 nt
Filed under: uncultured bacterium
Lineage: Bacteria
Description: partial 16S ribosomal RNA
Rfam family: Bacterial small subunit ribosomal RNA
Source: RNAcentral